CCUGCCCAAUGAUUGAAAGAUUUAAUGGCCGCGGUAUAUUGACCGUGCAAAGGUAGCAUAAUCAGUAGUUUUUUAAUUGAAAGCUUGUAUGAAGGGUUUGAUGAGAAAAUAACUGUCUCUAUUUAAAUUUUGUAGAAAUUUAUUUUUAAGUAAAAAAGCUUAAAUAGUUAUUGAAGACGAGAAGACCCUAUAGAGUUUAAUAGAUUAAUUAUUUGAGAAAGGAUUAGUAUUUAUUUUUUAAUAUGUAGUUAGUUUAUUUUGUUGGGGUGAUAGAAAAAUUAAUAAAACUUUUUUUGAAUUUAAACAUAAAUUUAUGAGUAUUUGAUCCUUUAAUGAAGAUUAUAAGAUAAAAUUACCUUAGGGAUAACAGCGUAAUUUUUUUUGAGAGUUCAAAUCGAAAAAAAAGAUUGCGACCUCGAUGUUGGAUUAAAAAAAAGCAUUGGUGUAUAAGCUAAUGGAUUAGGUCUGUUCGACCUUUAAAAUUUUACAUGAUCUGAGUUUAAACCGGCGUGAGCCAGGUCGGU
Molecule: ribosomal RNA, 524 nt
Filed under: Gymnoporopterus pictipes
Lineage: Eukaryota; Metazoa; Arthropoda; Insecta; Coleoptera; Curculionidae
Description: partial 16S ribosomal RNA
Rfam family: Bacterial large subunit ribosomal RNA
Source: RNAcentral